CUGGCGGCAUGCCUUACACAUGCAAGUCGAACGGCAGCGGACCUUCGGGUGCCGGCGAGUGGCGAACGGGUGAGUAAUAUAUCGGAACGUACCUUCAGGUGGGGGAUAACGUAGCGAAAGUUACGCUAAUACCGCAUAUUCUGUGAGCAGGAAAGCAGGGGGAUCGCAAGACCUUGCGCUGAUUGAGCGGCCGAUAUCAGAUUAGCUAGUUGGUGAGGUAAAGGCUCACCAAGGCGACGAUCUGUAGCGGGGUCUGAGAGGAUGAUCCGCCACACUGGAACUGAGACACGGUCCAGACUCCUACGGGAGGCAGCAGUGGGGAAUUUUGGACAAUGGGCGCAAGCCUGAUCCAGCCAUGCCGCGUGAGUGAAGAAGGUCUUCGGGUUGUAAAGCUCUUUCGGCCGGGAAGAAAUCGCACAGGUUAAUACCCUGUGUGGAUGACGGUACCGGAAUAAGAAGCACCGGCUAACUACGUG
RNAcentral lists this ribosomal RNA (476 nucleotides) under uncultured bacterium. RNAcentral's name for it is "bacterial SSU rRNA". It matches the Rfam family "Bacterial small subunit ribosomal RNA", at positions 36 to 507 of the family's 1533-position model. The record is from RNAcentral.